RNAcentral lists this transfer RNA (77 nucleotides) under Candidatus Endolissoclinum faulkneri L2. RNAcentral describes it as "tRNA-Arg (ACG) (tRNA-Arg-ACG-1-1)". It matches the Rfam family "tRNA". From Rfam's summary of the family: Transfer RNA (tRNA) molecules are approximately 80 nucleotides in length. Their secondary structure includes four short double-helical elements and three loops (D, anti-codon, and T loops). Lineage: Bacteria; Pseudomonadati; Pseudomonadota; Alphaproteobacteria; Rhodospirillales; Rhodospirillaceae. The record is from RNAcentral.
GCGCCCGUAGCUUAACUGGACAGAGCACAUGACUACGGAUCAUGAGGUUGGGAGUUCGACUCUUCCCGGGCGCGCCA